CUCAUCGCUGCCGUGGCUGCGUCCCCCUCUUUUCCUUGUCGCAGCACACCCUGAAGCUCCUUCGCUGGAUGCUCAAAACUAUAUUUUUGUCGUUGUCUGUCGCGGUCUAUUCUUUCGUUCACGUGCAUACGCCAUUCAACCACCACCAUCCCUCAUCACUCCUCCCACUCACCUCACCCCCAAACCCCAACAUAAGAUACAUAAGCGCGCACAUGCGCUACACCUUUUCACCUGUAAACAAGUAAGCGUGCGACUCUCACGCACCGAGCUCCCGUGUUUCUGUGACUUCGUUUUCUGUGUAUUCGCUGAGUCUGUCCUCACCGACACACACACACGAGCUUGUGCAGAGAGGCAUGCGCGCAAGCCAACUGCUUGAGCAGCUUCAUCGAUCGUAUCCCCACUAGGCGCAUCUUUCCUUUUCCUUCCUUUCGGUCUGUGUGGGUGGUGCGCGCACUUUUUUUUCUUCUGGGCUUCGUUGCGUAUCUCAAAAAACACCGAGACCACCACUUCCACCCACCUCCAAAAGGCACGAAGUUGUCGACCCCUCACAGACAGACCGCAUCAUCAACGGCAGAGCGUUCCAGACUCUCUGCCUCGCUUUAUUCUCUUUGCUUUUCUUCCGACAUCUCCUCCGCCCUCCGUCCCUCGAUCGCGGUUCGACCGUCACCCCUGCGGUCACACGUGUUUCCGCACACGGGUGAAGACAAGUGUCCUUUCCCGUCGUUACCACUUCCCUCCGUUGCCGGCCAGUGCGGCGGAUCGUGUCGAUCUACCCUCCGCGGGGGCAGGCAUGCCUUCAGUGUGAACGCUUCUGAGAGGUCACUGUCCGUUGUUGUCGCUAAGCAGUCGAAAGUGCGGAUCUCAUCAUGAGGCGCUACCGGUCGUGGGGGACAGCUCCGCUGCUCUCCACGCUCCUCAUGGUAGUGCUCCAUUCCUUUGCCCUGCACAGCGCAGCUGCGCGUACGCGAGAGUCGCUGCUAUAUUGCCUCCCUGCCGAGACGGAGCCGCAUGGCCUCAUCCGCUGCGUCAUCCAGGUGCUGGACGGAUACCAGCAGCCCACAACGAACUUCGACCCUUCCGAUUUUAUAGCUCUGACGCGCACCUCGAACGCCACGGCGGUCGUCACGAAGAGCGCGUUGGUGCGUGGCAGCGACAACGCAACCGUCGUCUUCACCCUGUCCGUCUCGACGGCCGCCGAUGUGCUGAUCCGGGUGUACUUGCGGGAGAAUGACGUCAUCGGCGGCAACGCCGGCAUGGGAGAGGUGCGCGGGAGCGGCAUCACAGUUUCUGUGCUUUCAUGGCCGACCUCGCGCCUCGGCCCUAUCACCUGCACGGCGCAAAGCACAGGUCUCGCACUGCGAAGCGCCACCAUCUGCCGCGCCGCCCUCUACGACAAGAGCAACACGCCCUCGGUUGUGCACAGCGCCGACGUGCUGUUCAGCGAGGCAAGCGCGCUAGGCAACUUUGUGUUCACCUCUGGAAUCAAGGAGCUUGUGUUUAGCUUCACGGCGCCGCCGACGGCGCCCGCGCUUGUCGGCACCUUUACGCUAACUGUGAGCCUUCGCGGCAAGGACGCCCACGUGAACAGUGACGGGGCACAAGCGGUUCAGAUUCCGAUUUUAUACCCUGGCGAGGUCGCGCUGUCUGAAACGACAGGCCUGCAAUGUGCAGCGGAGACGCGGCCCAUUACAUGCUUCAUCACGGCAUCUGGUGCACAGGGCCCUGUUACUUUUAACGCCACGCACUUUCGCCUGCGCGUGGAAAGAUCGGUCGGGGCCGUCGCUGCGGCGGCGGAUACGUUGGGCAGACUCACCACCAACGGCUCGGGCGCCGCUACCCGGCACUGGGUCGAUGUCACUGAUACCUUUAGCCUUUCCGUCACCCGCUCCCCACUGCGCCCGUACGUUGGCGUCGUCUCUUGGGAGCCGAAGUUGGAGGACUCCAUGUACGAGGCCAGGCUUCGCGUGUUCGCCUCGACGGAUGGGCAAGAAGUCGGCGCAGCUAGCAGGGACAGUGCCGCAGCCACCGGCAACGCAGCCGAUGUUGCGGGCAGCCCAUACUCCUUCAUGACGGGUAUACUGCCCAACGCUCCGUCCGUGACGCUGCGCGGCUGCCGCGAGUCGGUCAUCGCCUCGGGCAAUACAACAGUGUGCUUUAUCGACCUGGCAAAUGGUGUGUCGGGCGACACCGCCUUCUACGCCAUCACCACCUCGCACCGGGAAUCUUCUGUAUCCAAUUUGACCUAUGUUGCGCACGAUGCCGUCUGUGCGUGUCGAUCACUGUGGUUCACCUAUCACGCCCCAACGGCCCUCAUCAGCCCAGUGGACGACUACAUUGAGGUGUCUAUGUACACCGACGUCGUACACUCGGUCAGCGGUAUGGCCAUAGCCAGCAACGUGCCGCUCCGUCUCGACGUCCUUCCGGUGGUGUCCCGCUCCGGUCACGACACCUCCACAGCGCCGACGGACGCUGUUCUGGUCUCCGUCGGUAUUCUCUUCUACGGCAGCGUGCUCGCUGUCGGUGGCGUGCUCAUUGUGCACCGCUCGCGCAAGGCCGCCCGCAUCCGCCGCAAGCGCGCGCUGAAGGAGCGGGCAAUGAUGCAGGCCAUGGACAGACGCCAGGGCGUACCUACACCAGACGCGGAGAUCCUUAGGGACAACCCAAGCGCCCUGACUGAGACACCGGCGAUGACUACCACCCUAGACGGCGCCGCUGCGGGGCAUGUUUUCCUGGUUCGAGGAGGCGUGGGUCCGAACACUUCUGGGUACGACACGAUCGCCAUGCUGGGUGUGGGUGCUGGAGGGGCGGGUGGUGGUGGUGGAAGCCGUUCAACGUCGCCGCCUUCGGUGCCGGCAGCUGUAGUGAGCAACGUGGCAGUUCUUCAAGAUACCUUCCACUCUGACAGCGACUAGACAGCAGCGGAAAGGCCCGCCAUGCGAUGUGGAAGUAUGCUGUCCCAUAUGCGUACGCGUGUAUGCCUUCAUGCAAGAGGCCAAGUAUGCCGACAUGUACGUGUGAGGGGUGGGGCGAAGGCAAUUGUGGCCUGUGGCUCUACGCGCUGCGUGCGAAGGUCAAGUUCAUCGUUCAACUCCCGUCGCUCUAUCCACGUUGCACACUCUUCCGGCUCCCACCCCUCCAUCUCUCUUGGUCCUCCGGCCCUCCCCUCCCCAACCUAUGGUGGGGUAUCUAUGCGUGUGUAUUAACUGGAACUGCCGCGGACUGUCAUGUGAUUCGGCGCCGGCGCCAACUAAUAACGGAAGCAC
This 3263-nucleotide unclassified non-coding RNA is filed under the name Leishmania donovani. Its description in RNAcentral is "gene:LdHU3.33.1810(CDS-product:hypothetical_prote in_conserved)". Lineage: Eukaryota; Euglenozoa; Kinetoplastea; Trypanosomatida; Trypanosomatidae. The record is from RNAcentral.